Cyprinus carpio (common carp) is the source of this 1442-nucleotide long non-coding RNA. RefSeq lists it as uncharacterized. The transcript has 3 exons. The record is from RefSeq and is a predicted model, not a curated record. NCBI's taxonomy places the organism in Eukaryota, Metazoa, Chordata, Actinopteri, Cypriniformes, Cyprinidae.
GAACAGAAGCGACACAAAACAGUGUGAAUCGCAGAAGUUAUUAUUUUUCAGCAAUCGUGCAACAUUUAUAGUUAAAUAAUUAGCUAAGAGUCGAUGUCAAUUAAUUUCAAUAUGUUUAUAGAUAGGUAUAUAAAUGUACUUAUUGACGGUCAGAUAGAUGUAAAUAGUAACAUUAGCAUGUAACGUUAUGCUAUUUGAUUCUUUGUUUGAAGAGCUCAGACUUCUGUGUGUGUGCUAUUUUGAUUGUUUCUCUUGCAGAUUGAAAACGCCUGCACUCGUCUAUGAAGAGGCCAAAGACAUGCAUGUUAUUGCCACAAUCCCUGUCUACUCUCCAGUGAGGAUUGAAUGCUUAAAUCAUACUGUUUGACAUCUACUAUAAGUCAGAAGUCCUGAAUCCACUCUGAAGUACUUUAUUGCUGGUCAUUGAGUUCUAACAAUAAGAUCUGAAUACUAAUCCUGUAACAUUUCAGUUUGUGUCAGCUGGACUCUCCUGCGAUCAGAGAGCGCUGGUGUCUAUGUCUUAUUGUUCUGGACAGACACAGUGACCAGAUCAAACUCGUCAUGGAUCUGCUUCUUCCAGAUGUAGGUCUCGUGUUUUAGCUGUACACUCCAUGAUCUCAGAUUCACAUUGUUUUAAAUGUCAAAUAGUGUUAUCCAUAAAGUGAGACCAUUGCUCUUAAAAGAAAGGUUUUUGUGGUUCUAGAAGAGACACUUUUCAGUUUGUUGUAAAAAGCUAAACCUGUGAAAUGGUUCUUGUCUGCUUGGGGUGUGUGAUCGAUCUCAAUUCUUUCUCUGGUGGUCUGUUAUCUGUGUCCUGGCUUUUGUGGAAAAUCUGUCCAUCCUAAAGACUGAGGAGACGUUUCUGUGAGGACCUGCCAUUUACAUAAAGUACUGUAAGGAUGACAUCCUGCUAUUAUUCACAAAUAACCAUUUCUUUCUACAACUAUCCCACUUUAGUUGUUUUAUCAGUGAGCGGGAGCAUUUUGACACGAGGACAGAACAACAAUUAAGAGAGUCAUCAACGGGAGUCAUCCUAGUUCAUGUUUUUAAUAAUGGUGCUAAUAAAUAAUGUUGUACACAAAAAAGUUGUCUCUUUCUUCUCAGAUGCUAAAUGGCCCUUGGGGUUUUAGAAAAGGGUGAAUUGUGUUUGUCUUUAUAAAAUACUUUAUAGGACACUGUUCUGUUGCUGUAUGACAUCCAGUAGUGAAUACUAAAGAUAAAUCAAUAUUAAAUAUUUCAUUGAUGUUUCAUAUGAUUACACUGUAUGUCUGAUGGGCUAAAUAUGGUUAAUAUCUGAAUGUAACUUUAGAUAUAAAUUCACAACAACAUAUAUAUCACUCCAUCUGCUGUAUAUAUGAGAACCUACAGUGAAUAUAAUAUUGCUACAGUAGAUCAUUUAUCAUUACAUUGUACAUUUGAUCCAAAUAUGUGUAUUAUUAUUU